UCACCCCUCAAGCCUGGCUUGCUGUUGGACUCUUGGUUAAGCUUUGGCUUCAACCAGUCCCAAAGAUAAUGACGGCGUCUGUGAGGACCCCAGUACACUGAGCUUUCUAAGCACGUAUUAGGUGGAAGUCCAGGCCCGGUCUUACCCAUUUUAUUUACAAGGUUGACCUCGGAUCAGGUAGGGAUACCCGCUGAACUUAA
Molecule: unclassified non-coding RNA, 200 nt
Filed under: soil metagenome
Description: partial contains internal transcribed spacer 2 and large subunit ribosomal RNA
Source: RNAcentral